Molecule: ribosomal RNA, 403 nt
Filed under: uncultured bacterium
Lineage: Bacteria
Description: partial 16S ribosomal RNA
Rfam family: Bacterial small subunit ribosomal RNA
Source: RNAcentral
AUUGAACGCUGGCGGCAGGCCUAACACAUGCAAGUCGAGCGAGCGGAGGACGGGUGAGUAAUGUAUGGGGACUGCUAGAUAGAGGGGGAUAACUACUGGAAACGGUAGCUAAUACCGCAUACUAUCGGAUAACCCAUAGGGGAUUAGCUAGUAGGUGAGGGAAUGGCUCACCUAGGCAACGAUCCCUAGCUGGUCUGAGAGGCGGAUACGCCACACUGGCACUGAGACACGGCCCAGACGCCUACGGAGGCAGCAGUGGGGAAUAUUGCACAAUGGGCGCAAGCAUGAUGCAGCCAUGCCGCGUGUAUGAAGAAGGCCCUAGGGUUGUAAAGUACUUUCAGUCGGGAGGCGUUACCGACAGAAGAAGCACCGGCUAACUCCGUGCCAGCAGCCGCGGUAAUAC